This 497-nucleotide ribosomal RNA is filed under the name uncultured bacterium. Its description in RNAcentral is "partial 16S ribosomal RNA". It matches the Rfam family "Bacterial small subunit ribosomal RNA", at positions 28 to 507 of the family's 1533-position model. The record is from RNAcentral.
GACGAACGCUGGCGGCGUGCCUAAUACAUGCAAGUUGAGCGCUGAAGGUUGGUACUUGUACCAACUGGAUGAGCAGCGAACGGGUGAGUAACGCGUGGGGAAUCUGCCUUUGAGCGGGGGACAACAUUUGGAAACGAAUGCUAAUACCGCAUAAAAACUUUAAACACAAGUUUUAAGUUUGAAAGAUGCAAUUGCAUCACUCAAAGAUGAUCCCGCGUUGUAUUAGCUAGUUGGUGAGGUAAAGGCUCACCAAGGCGAUGAUACAUAGCCGACCUGAGAGGGUGAUCGGCCACAUUGGGACUGAGACACGGCCCAAACUCCUACGGGAGGCAGCAGUAGGGAAUCUUCGGCAAUGGACGAGAGUCUGACCGAGCAACGCCGCGUGAGUGAAGAAGGGUUUCGGAUCGUAAAACUCUGUUGGUAGAGAAGAACGUUGGUGAGAGUGGAAAGCUCAUCAAGUGACGGUAACUACCCAGAAAGGGACGGCUAACUACGUG